Trachemys scripta elegans is the source of this 2765-nucleotide long non-coding RNA. RefSeq lists it as uncharacterized. NCBI's taxonomy places the organism in Eukaryota, Metazoa, Chordata, Testudines, Emydidae. The transcript has 3 exons. The record is from RefSeq and is a predicted model, not a curated record.
AUGUCUAAAUCGCAUUCUUUAGGCUUCAGCUGGUUACCUCCAGGGGUCAGGAAGGAAUUGCCCCCUCGAUACGCAGUUGUAAUUGUGGGGUGGGGCGUGGCAGGUUGCCUUCCUGUGAAGCAUCAAAGGUUGGCCAUGGUGAGAGAUGGGAUACUGGCAGGGAUGGACUAGUGUUGUGAGGUGGUGCAAAGCAUCCUCUGUCUUACAUACCUGGCUGGUGGGUCUUGCUUACAUGUGGAGGGUCUAACUGAGCCCCAGAUUUGGGGUCAGGAAGGAAUUUCUCCCAAGUCAGCGUGGCAGGGACUUCGGGGGUUUUCACCUUCCUCUGCAGCGUGGGUCAGCUGUCAAGAUACCCGGGCAGGUCUCACCUAAUCACUUCCUGCCACCACAGACACCUCGGACAUUGCUGGCAUCUCAGACUCUCCUGGUCUCUGCCUGUAGGGACAGUUAAUUAAAGUCAGCUUAAGUUUGGUUAAGAAAAUAAUAUCUGCUUUAUGGUUUGUGGCUAGUACGGGAAAGGCCCCAGUCAACACAUAAAGGAAGGUCAUGAGAAUAAUAAGUAAUAUUGCUUAUAGUGUGGGAAAGCCGUUUGGACUGCUCAAGUGAAAAGCUGCAGUAAUAAGACAAAGGGAAACUGUCUUAAAAGAAACAAGCAAAAACCUUCCCAUGGGUCUGAUGGUAAGGGGGGAGGAGGAGAUAAGAAAGGAGGCCUUGGCAGAAGGGAAGGAGCAAGGCUGAACUGUUCAAACUGGGAUUUGCUAAAGCUAGCAAGUUAGCUGAGGUGUCUAGAGAGAGCUGUGAAUGUGAAGGUGCUUUGUCAGGCCUGACCUGAUCACACCGGGCACAGCCGGCUGAGACGCUCAUCCCCAAGUCCGGCCCGUUUUUCAACGUCUUUCUAACUAAGGACCAGAGGACGUGAUUGUAGCUGUGGCAGUCGUCCAGGAGAAGAAUGAAAAAUGACAAAGCCAGCGCCCCUCGGGAGCAAGGGCAGGGGCUGUUGGUAGCGUCCAGAGAGGCCGGUGUGAUUGUGGGUGGAGAAGGCGCGUCAAUAAAACGCAGAAAUAACAAUCCGAAUUUGGGGAUCUGAGGAAGCCGCUGUCAUUGAAGUGACAGCCGGAGCCCAGCUCAGUCAGGGUGUGAAAUAAACAAUGCCACUGGAUAUCGCACACCAUUCUGCAAGUGGCCUGAAGACAAGCGAAAAAAAGGUGAUUGCAUAAGAAUUGACAAUUGUAGCAUCAGUCCCCAUUUAGGGAAUGGUACCUUCAGUUUUCCAUAUGUGCAUGCUAGGCAUGAGAGGCAUUACAUGUGUUUUGUGUUUCCUGUAAUAUUUAAUCAAACAAGGGUUUAGCAAUGUGUACCCUACAGGGCGUCAGAGAAGGUAGCCAUAAGGGUGGCACAAAUACCGUACAUUGGAAAAAAAACCACAAUGCCCCACAGUGGAGGCAGGAUCCAGUAAUGGACGGGUAUUAAGGCCCCUUAAAGAGCUGUUCAAUUAUGUUCAAUUUAUACAUGUACCUGUGCUGUUCAGCUUGACUUCACUGCAUUUGCCAAAGGGUUUAUGUCCACCAGGGUUUGGCCAAUUGUCACGCACAAUGAUAAAGGACUCCUGGAGAGACUUUGUCGAUAGAAAUGCAGAUAUAAGCAGAGUCUGAAAGAAUGGAUGAAUUCUCCCCUGACAGCUAGCUAGAAGGGGGAGAGACUUCAGGUGCAAACUGCAUUUAUAUGAACACACCUUCUCUGCUUAGAUAUCCAGCAGGUAGAGCGGUGUUGCUCAAGUAAUCAACUUGGGCUGGUGUUGGGUUACAAAUCACUUUAGUACUGAGUGUAGGGAUAGUGAAAUGCUGUUAUCAAUGGGGUGGCAUUAUUGUAUGAAUGAAAGGGAGCAGAACUGUGCUUAACCUGUCCCAAAUGAGGGGACCACCCUCAGCCGAAAGGACCUUGUUAAACCAGGGGCUUGAAUGCCAGAGCCCGUGAAAGUAAAAGGGGUGGGGACAGGUGUUCUAGCCAGGAGGUGUGAACUCGCCCUAGGGGGUCCCCCCCCCACACUGGUUUACCCCAUUCCUCCCCACUGCUCAAAGAAAGAGCUAAAUAGGCUUCAUUAUGUGCCUCUUUGUUAUUUUAAAUGCUCAAUCAGAACUGAAAUCAGUUGUGGUGGGACCGUGUCUCUGCCCAGCCUGCGAAGAGCUGAAAAUCACUGAGACGGAUGUGCAGAGGUCACAGCAGAGUGGCAGGUGGCAACAGAAGGUGACUGACAGUUGGCUGGCGAACGAGUGGCUGGUGAAGCGGUGAGCAGAACAAACCGCUGGCGAGGCAGUGAGGAACCGUGGCUGGCGGAACAGCCAGCAGAGAGGAACCAUGCCUGGUGGCCCAGCCAGCCGGCGAGGAGCAGCUGCUGGUGAGACGGCCAGCUGAAGCAAGUGCUCAGAUGCAGAGCAAGCAAGGUGCCUUCUUCCGCGGGUGGGAGGUGAACUCACACAGAUGCACCUCUGAACCCUGGGUCCUCUCUGACCAAGGACAACCCCCGUGAGUGGGGUAUGGAGAGGAAGCGGAGAGAGGCACAGAAAAGGAACUUUUGGUUGUAGAACUCAAGAACAUGAGACAGACGACUCUGCCCCUGGCACUCUGGGGUGGGCGUCCUGCUCACAGUGUUAUGUUUAUGAAUCCUGUUUGUGGCAUUUUCCCUAAUUAAUGCCAAGUGACUUCCCUCCAUUCAGUAAAUUUUCUUUUCUACACUCAGACUCUGUGCUUGCGAGCGGGGAAGUAUG